GUCUAAAUUUAAACAGUAUUAUACUGUAUAGAGCGAUCGUGUCUCUUUAGGGCGCUUGGAGGAAACCACGCAAUUCAUAUGGAUUACUUUGGCGAUGUUUUUUUGCGAUGAACUUUUUGAAACGUGAACAUCUUUGAUGAAUCUUUUCAUCGGAGGGACAUAAAUCUCUCAGAUUUCAUUAAAAUAUCUCCGCUUUUCUUUCGAAGAUGAACGAAAGUCUUAGAUGGUUUGGAGCAUCUUAAGGGUGAGUGAUGACAUAAUUCAAAUUGUUUUGGGGGAAUUAUGAAAUUAAUUUGAAAAUAUAGCGGUAUGUUCUUAUGUUUACCAGCUUCUGCAAGCGUGUAUGGCAUCUGGCUAUUGGAACCUCACUGUGACUUCAGAUAAGAACAAAGAUUAAAUUGUAAGAAUGGUUGCUUAUAAGAGCAUACAGUACAUCUGAAACUGCUGAGGCUGGGAAGGUUUUUGACUAUAUUUCCGACCAGAUCAGCUGCUAUAGAAGACAAACUGAAAUCUGAGUGCAGAGACAAGCAAAGGAAUAGCACUUGUGCAAGAUAUUGUAUGCCUGAACGACUAGGCUGUGCCCAGGUCUCCAGAACCUGUGACGACGUUCAGCUCCAUCGGCCCUUAGUAUCCGGCUUCAGAUCCACCAGCUCUGUCUCCAUCGGUCGGUCCCCAGAUGUCGGCAGCCACACCAUCUACAUCUUGGCUCCUCGCUCCCUCGACUCCGCCGUGUGUUAUCAGCACUGGGAUGCUCUGGGUCUGUGCCAUGUGCCAAAUACUAUCUAAGCCACCAGGGCAUCAUCUUCAUCCUCCCAUCACCAUCCCUUCACCACAUCCUGCCAUCAUCCCGCACCUUUGCCUCUCACCAUCCCUACGCCAUCUCCUCGUCCACCUCCAAACCCCCUCCAUCCCUCCCUAUUCUGUUGCUUGAACUUUAUCAUCUUCAGUCUUUGCACACACAGUACAUUUUUUUCAGUAAAUUUUUGUUUUGUUUUUUCUUUAGAAAAUUGCAUUGUAAUUUUUAUUUAUUCAUUGGUGUAAAAUGAUGUACUUUUCAGUAAUACAGGUAUAACUGAAAUGUUCUACAAAUGGAUAAGAUAGCUCUGCCAUAGCAUUUCAGUCUUUUUUUCAUUUAUUAUAAUGUUUUUUGUAUAAUGUUUUAAAAUGUAGUUGAGUAUGUUGUUAAUAGUAUAUUUAAUAGUAUGUUUUUUUUUGUUUUUCACCAAAGUAUAUAUGCUGCUGUACUUUUUAAAUGUACUUUAUGAAUAUUUGUAAUGUACACAAUAUAUAAUACAUUAAA
Onychostoma macrolepis is the source of this 1300-nucleotide long non-coding RNA. RefSeq lists it as uncharacterized. The transcript has 4 exons. The record is from RefSeq and is a predicted model, not a curated record. NCBI's taxonomy places the organism in Eukaryota, Metazoa, Chordata, Actinopteri, Cypriniformes, Cyprinidae.